Molecule: long non-coding RNA, 1266 nt
Filed under: Phascolarctos cinereus (koala)
Lineage: Eukaryota; Metazoa; Chordata; Mammalia; Diprotodontia; Phascolarctidae
Description: lncRNA (ENSPCIG00000033671.1)
Source: RNAcentral
GCUUUGAUUCAGGAAGCAUCUGGUUCUAGUGUGUUAACAGGUUUAUUUCUAACCAUUAAGGCAUCCCCCUCUCCCCUGAAAGCAGCAAGGUUAGUCUCUCUCUCUCUCUCUCUCUCUCUCUCUCUCUCUCUCUCUCUCUCUCUCUCUCUCUCUCUCUCUCCUUUCUCUUCCUCACUAUUUUCUUUUUCUCAUUUUAUCUCCCUUUCCUCUCUCUCCUCUUUGCCUCUCUUUUUCUCCUCUUCCUUUCUUCUCUCAUUUCCCUCUCUUAUUUUUUCCUCUUUUUUCUUCUUCCUCCUCUCUUUACCUACUUUUUCUUUUCCUUUCUCUUUUCUUUCUCCUCUCCCCACUCCUCUCCCUCUUUCAUUCUCUUCUCUCUCCCCUCAUUCUCUCCAUCUUCCCUUUCUUUUAUUCUUUCUUUUCCCUCUCUCUUCUCCCUCUCUCCUUUCUCCUCUUUCUCAUACAUUCACCAGGCAUUCUUUCCAGGGAUACCCCUUUUCUCCUCCUCCUCCAUUCCCUCUUAUACUUUUUUCCUUCUCCUUUCAUAGUCUUUUCUAUUUUACUUGGUUGUUUGGUUUUUCUCCUAACUUGCUGCCUCUCACUCCCCCCCCGCCAAAAAAAAAAGAAAAAAGAAAAAGAAAAGAAACAAAGAAAAAAAAAAGAGGAGGCAUGAAAAUUAAAGAGAGAGAGAGAGAGAGAGAGAGAGAGAGAGAGAGAGAGAGAGAGAGAGAGAGAGAGAGAGAGAGGCAGGCUGGCGGCUCCCGUUUGCCCGGCGUGGGCAAAAGAGUCAAUACUCCAUCGGUUGCUGGCGCUGAAGUUCCCCAGGCCAGCCCAGCCCAACUCAGCCUCCUCGGCUCCAUCGUGCCUCAGCUCAGGCUCCAGCAGCUGCCUGCCUGGAAACAUGGCUUUGCUUUUCCAGACAGCCAGCAGAGGGAAGCGAGACUUCACUUGCAGGAGGGACUGAGGAAGGCAGGCGGGCAGGCGGGCAGCCUCUCUCCCCCUGUCUCUCUUCUGUCUCUCUUCCUUCCCUCUCUCCCUCUCUCUUCCUUCCUUCUCUCUCUCUCUCUCUCUCUCUCUCUCUCUCUCUCUCUCUCUCUCUCUCUCUCUCUCUCUCUCUCUCUCUCUCUCUCUCUCUCUCUCUCUCCCUCCCUCCCUCUUCCCUCCCUCUCUCCCUCCCCCCUUCCUUCCCUCUCUCUCCCUUUUUUUCUUGGAGGAAAUACUGCAGCCUUCUGGCCUGCGUCUGCCUCUCCAGGGAGAGGCUCACUCUAG